RNAcentral lists this ribosomal RNA (157 nucleotides) under Paraphaeosphaeria sporulosa. RNAcentral describes it as "5.8S ribosomal RNA". It matches the Rfam family "5.8S ribosomal RNA". From Rfam's summary of the family: 5.8S ribosomal RNA (5.8S rRNA) is a component of the large subunit of the eukaryotic ribosome. It is transcribed by RNA polymerase I as part of the 45S precursor that also contains 18S and 28S rRNA. Functionally, it is thought that 5.8S rRNA may be involved in ribosome translocation. The record is from RNAcentral. Lineage: Eukaryota; Fungi; Ascomycota; Dothideomycetes; Pleosporales; Didymosphaeriaceae. RNAcentral also lists the same sequence under 2 other names.
ACUUUCAACAAUGGAUCUCUUGGCUCUGGCAUCGAUGAAGAACGCAGCGAAAUGCGAUAAGUAGUGUGAAUUGCAGAAUUCAGUGAAUCAUCGAAUCUUUGAACGCACAUUGCGCCCCUUGGUAUUCCAUGGGGCAUGCCUGUUCGAGCGUCAUCUA